RNAcentral lists this ribosomal RNA (301 nucleotides) under uncultured bacterium. Its description in RNAcentral is "partial 16S ribosomal RNA". It matches the Rfam family "Bacterial small subunit ribosomal RNA", at positions 509 to 808 of the family's 1533-position model. The record is from RNAcentral.
CAGUCGCCGCGGUAAUACGUAGGGGGCGAGCGUUGUCCGAAGUUACUGGGCGUAAAGCGCGCGUAGGCGGCUUCUUGAGUCUGAGGUGAAAGGUUCAACGCUUAACGUGAACAGUGCCUUGGAUACUGGGGAGCUUGAGUAUGGGAGAGGGCAGUGGAAUGGCUGGUGUAGCGGUGAAAUGCGUAGAUAUCAGUCGGAACACCAGUGGCGAAGGCGACUCUCUGGUCUGUAACUGACGCUGAGGAGCGAAAGCGUGGGGAGCGAACAGGAUUAGAUACCCCCGUAGUCCCUGUCUCUUAUA